RNAcentral lists this ribosomal RNA (465 nucleotides) under uncultured bacterium. RNAcentral's name for it is "partial 16S ribosomal RNA". It matches the Rfam family "Bacterial small subunit ribosomal RNA", at positions 339 to 795 of the family's 1533-position model. The record is from RNAcentral.
CUACGGGAGGCUCCAGUGAGGAAUUUUGCGCAAUGGGCGAAAGCCUGACGCAGCAACGCCGCGUGAGUGAUGAAGGCCUUCGGGUCGUAAAGCUCUGUCAAGUGGGAAGAACCUAUGUAAUGUUAAUAUCAUUAUAUACUGACGGUACCACUGAAGGAAGCACCGGCUAACUCCGUGCCAGCAGCCGCGGUAAUACGGGGGGUGCAAGCGUUAUUCGGAAUCAUUGGGCGUAAAGGGCACGUAGGCGGCCUGGUAAGUCAGAUGUGAAAGCCCGGGGCUUAACCCCGGAAGUGCAUUUGAUACUGUCAGGCUUGAGUAUGGGAGAGGGAAGUGGAAUUCCUGGUGUAGAGGUGAAAUUCGUAGAUAUCAGGAGGAACACCGGUGGCGAAGGCGACUUCCUGGACCAAUACUGACGCUGAGGUGCGAAGGCGUGGGUAGCAAACAGGAUUAGAUACCCGCGUAGUC